This 498-nucleotide ribosomal RNA is filed under the name uncultured bacterium. RNAcentral's name for it is "bacterial SSU rRNA". It matches the Rfam family "Bacterial small subunit ribosomal RNA", at positions 21 to 518 of the family's 1533-position model. The record is from RNAcentral.
GGCUCAGGACGAACGCUGGCGGCGUGCCUAACACAUGCAAGUCGAGCGGAGUCAGUAAGAGGAAGUUUCGGAUGGAAUCUGUUGAUUAGCGGCGGACGGGUGAGUAACGCGUGAGCGACCAACCUUGCACAGGGGGAUAACGGACCGAAAGGUUCACUAAUACCGCAUGAGACCACGGUGUUGCAUGACACAGAGGUCAAAGGAGCAAUCCGGUGCAAGACGGGCUCGCGUCCGAUUAGGUAGUUGGAGGGAUAACGGCCCACCAAGCCUAUGAUCGGUAGCCGACCUGAGAGGGUGAUCGGCCACAUUGGAACUGAGAUACGGUCCAAACUCCUACGGGAGGCAGCAGUGGGGAAUAUUGGGCAAAUGGGGGAAACCCUGACCCAGCAACGCCGCGUGAAGGAAGAAGGUUUUCGGAUUGUAAACUUCUGUCCUUGGUGAAGAGAAGAAGACGGUAGCCAAGGAGGAAGCCCCGGCUAACUACGUGCCAGCCGCCGC